CUACACCCCCUUCCCUUUUAGAAGCCUAAACUCUGGCUUGGAUUAUUACAAGAUAUUGAAUACAGUUCCCUGUGCUAUACAGAAAAGAUGUACUUGCAUGUAUGCUAAGUCACUUGAGUCAUGUCCAACUCUGUGCAACGCUAUGCAGCCUGCCAGACUCCUCUGUCCAUGGGAUUCUCCAGGCAAGAAUACUGGAGUGGGUUGCUGUACCCUCUUCCAGGGGAUCUUCCCAACCCAGGGAUCGAAGCUUCAUCUCCUAAGUCUCCUGCAUUGGCAGAAGAAGGAAAAAGUGAAGGAGGAGGGACAAGAGGAGAAAGUCAGCGGAAAUGAAUGAACCUUCCUCCGCGCCAUGGCUGGAGCACUCUGAAAAGGGAAACCUUGACCACCCGGACCUGGAAAACACACAUUAUUGGCAGGAUCUAAGCUGAUGGAAACCUAACUGAACUAGAAUUUGGGUCUUCCAACACUCCCAGCACAGUGUUGUCACUCCCAAGCUGUGUGACCUUUGCAAAAUCAUAUCUCUGACCCUCACUUUCUUCAUCUACAAAAGGAAAGAGUUACAUGGUUUCUCUCUUCUCCAGGGUUGCACUAGUAAGACAGCUGGUAAUGUUAAUUGAUAAGGAAGUGGUUCAAAGAGGAUCCAUCUGUUUUUAAUUAAAUUCCUUUUGCAACAUCUUUAUAAAUGCUCUGGGUCUAAGAGAUAACGUAUUAGGAGAUCCAGAAAGCAUACAUAUUGAAGCCACAUGCUGCUAUAUAAAGGACAGACUCAAUUAAAUAGAAUUAAACCAGUGACUGGUGAGAAUGGGGAAGCCUGUGCUUUGAGAGAUUUGGGGAGCGAGUUAAAGUUUAUUGGGCAUCAGAAAAGUUAAGAGAGUUUUUUCAAUGGAAAUUGAAUGUUAGCGGAAACAUUAGUAUAGGACACUGACAUUCCAUGAACUCUGACAAAGUAAAAGGAAGGAAGGAAAUAAGAAAACAGAAGCCAGAGGUGACAAAGGAUAAAUGGUUGGGAAUGUCAUCCAUGAGGAGGUGAAGUGGGAGAAAGAGGUACAAAAGCUGGAGUGAUGACGAUUCCUACCCGCAAAUCAAAUUUACCCAUGAGUUC
Bos taurus (domestic cattle) is the source of this 1102-nucleotide long non-coding RNA. NCBI's taxonomy places the organism in Eukaryota, Metazoa, Chordata, Mammalia, Artiodactyla, Bovidae. The record is from Ensembl.